GACGAACGCUGGCGGCGUGCUUAACACAUGCAAGUCGAACGGAAAGGCCCUGCUUUUGUGGGGUGCUCGAGUGGCGAACGGGUGAGUAACACGUGAGUAACCUGCCCUUGACUUUGGGAUAACUUCAGGAAACUGGGGCUAAUACCGGAUAGGAGCUCCUGCUGCAUGGUGGGGGUUGGAAAGUUUCGGCGGUUGGGGAUGGACUCGCGGCUUAUCAGCUUGUUGGUGGGGUAGUGGCUUACCAAGGCUUUGACGGGUAGCCGGCCUGGGAGGGUGACCGGCCACAGUGGGACUGGGCUGCGGCCCAGACUCCUACGGGAGGCAGCAGUGGGGAAUAUUUCACACUGGGCGGAAGCCUGAUGCAGCAACGCCGCGUGCGGGAUGACGGCCUUCGGGUUGUAAACCGCUUUCGCCUGUGACGAAGCGUGAGUGACGGUAAUGGGUAAGAAGCACCGGCUAACUACGUG
RNAcentral lists this ribosomal RNA (467 nucleotides) under uncultured bacterium. RNAcentral describes it as "partial 16S ribosomal RNA". It matches the Rfam family "Bacterial small subunit ribosomal RNA", at positions 28 to 507 of the family's 1533-position model. The record is from RNAcentral.